Molecule: ribosomal RNA, 465 nt
Filed under: uncultured bacterium
Lineage: Bacteria
Description: partial 16S ribosomal RNA
Rfam family: Bacterial small subunit ribosomal RNA
Source: RNAcentral
CCUACGGGAGGCUGCAGUAGGGAAUCUUCGGCAAUGGACGAAAGUCUGACCGAGCAACGCCGCGUGAGUGAAGAAGGAUUUCGGAUCGUAAAGCUCUGUUGGUAGAGAAGAACGUUGGUGAGAGUGGAAAGCUCAUCGAGUGACGGUAACUACCCAGAAAGGUACGGCUAACUACGUGCCAGCAGCCGCGGUAAUACGUAGGUCCCGAGAGUUGGCCGGAUUUAUUGGGCGUAAAGCGGGCGCAGGUGGUUUAUUAAGUCUGGGGUAAAAGGCAGGGGCUCAACCAUUGUAUGCAUUGGAAACUGGUAGACUUGAGUGCAGGAGAGGAGAGUGGAAUUCCAUGUGUAGCGGUGAAAUGCGUAGAUAUAUGGAGGAACACCGGUGGCGAAGGCGGCUCUCUGGCCUGUAACUGACACUGAGGCUCGAAAGCGUGGGGAGCAAACAGGAUUAGAUACCCUUGUAGUC